CCUACGGGCGGCAGCAGUGAGGAAUAUUGGUCAAUGUGCGCGAGCCUGAACCAGCCAAGUAGCGUGCAGGAUGACUGCCCUACGGGUUGUCAACUUCUUUUGUAAAGGAAUAAAGUGCGGCACGUGUGCCUUUUUGUAUGUACUUUAUGAAUAAGGCUCGGCUAACUCCGUGCCAGCAGCCGCGGUAAUACGGAGGAUCCGAGCGUUAUCCGGAUUUCUUGGGUUUAAAGGGAGCGUAGAUGGGUUGUUAAGUCAGUUGUGAAAGUUUGCGGCUCAACCGUACAAUUGCAAUUGAUACUGGCAGUCUUGAGUACAGUUGAGGUAGGCGGAAUUCGUGGUGUAGCGGUGAAAUGCUUAGAUAUCACGAAGAACCCCGAUUGCGAAGGCAGCUUACUAAACUGCCACUGACAUUGAUGCUCGAAAGUGUGGGUAUCAAACAGGAUUAGAUACCCCAGUAGUC
RNAcentral lists this ribosomal RNA (460 nucleotides) under uncultured bacterium. Its description in RNAcentral is "partial 16S ribosomal RNA". It matches the Rfam family "Bacterial small subunit ribosomal RNA", at positions 338 to 795 of the family's 1533-position model. The record is from RNAcentral.